AAUGUGGACCCCAUUUAAAGAAAAAAUUUAUCAGCACUUCCUAAACUCACAGCUUCAUCUGCAUCAUCCUCUCACAUCGUAGACAAAACUUCAAGCUGUUUUGCCCAAUAGUUGUGGCAUUGGACCUAUGGUUACAGGUUUGUUCUUGCCUGAAAGAUGUUUACACCUUUGAACACUUGACGGUGUUGUUGCGUCAUGAAAUUGUAUUGCUGCCAUUCCCUGUAUCUCCCACUUCACAGAGCUCUGCAAGAAAUGAGUAAUAGGAAGCCUACAACAGAUUGAGGAAUUAAACAAUUAAUAGGUUCCGUGAUAUGCCAUUGGAUUUCGCGAGUAGCCGCCAAUGUCAAACUACAACGCAGUUUCUUUAUUGGAAUUGUGUGGUCCUGGCACAGAAAUCCUUGAUGCUGGCCUUUGUUCAUAACAGAAGAGUGACUUCUACCACUUUUCUGCUCCAUCCUAAUCUUCGCUACCCACACUCAUCUAGCUUCUCUGCAUAUUAUGCUGCUAAACAAUUUGCCGUACUUCACUGACGAGUUAGACUAGUCGCUUCCGUCCGCAGCGACACAUGUACUGUCACUUACCACGGGAUUAUGCCCAGAUACGGAGUCAGUAGUUCAGUAAAUAUUCAUUCGAC
RNAcentral lists this long non-coding RNA (634 nucleotides) under Daphnia pulex (common water flea). RNAcentral's name for it is "uncharacterized LOC124201075, transcript variant X1". Lineage: Eukaryota; Metazoa; Arthropoda; Branchiopoda; Diplostraca; Daphniidae. The record is from RNAcentral.